UACAGAGGUCCCAAGCGUUGUUCGGAUUCACUGGGCGUAAAGGGUGCGCAGGUGGGUUUGCAAGUUCGAUGUGAAAGCCCCGGGCUUAACCCGGGAAUGGCAUUGGAUACUGCAGAUCUGGAGGAUCGGAGGGGGGGCUGGAAUUCUUGGUGUAGCAGUGAAAUGCGUAGAUAUCAAGAGGAACACCAGUGGCGAAGGCGAGUCCCUGGACGAUACCUGACACUGAGGCACGAAAGCUAGGGGAGCGAAAUGGG
RNAcentral lists this ribosomal RNA (254 nucleotides) under uncultured bacterium. RNAcentral's name for it is "partial 16S ribosomal RNA". It matches the Rfam family "Bacterial small subunit ribosomal RNA", at positions 524 to 777 of the family's 1533-position model. The record is from RNAcentral.